This 253-nucleotide ribosomal RNA is filed under the name uncultured bacterium. RNAcentral's name for it is "partial 16S ribosomal RNA". It matches the Rfam family "Bacterial small subunit ribosomal RNA", at positions 524 to 776 of the family's 1533-position model. The record is from RNAcentral.
UACGGAGGGGGCGAGCGUUAUUCGGAAUUAUUGGGCGUAAAGAGCUCGUAGGCGGUCUGUCGCGUCGGAUGUGAAAAUCCAGGGCUCAACCCUGGACCUGCAUUCGAUACGGGCAGACUAGAGUUCGGCAGGGGAGACUGGAAUUCCUGGUGUAGCGGUGAAAUGCGCAGAUAUCAGGAGGAACACCGGUGGCGAAAGCGACUUCCUGGACCAGUACCGACGUUCAGGCACGAAAGCGUGGGGAGCAAACAGG